Molecule: ribosomal RNA, 904 nt
Filed under: Lepidosphaeria nicotiae
Lineage: Eukaryota; Fungi; Ascomycota; Dothideomycetes; Pleosporales; Testudinaceae
Description: LSU rRNA
Rfam family: Eukaryotic large subunit ribosomal RNA
Source: RNAcentral
GCAUAUCAAUAAGCGGAGGAAAAGAAACCAACAGGGAUUGCCCUAGUAACGGCGAGUGAAGCGGCAACAGCUCAAAUUUGAAAUCUGGCCCCGUUGGGGUCCGAGUUGUAAUUUGUAGAGGGCGCUUUGGCGUUGGCCCUGGCCUAAGUUCCUUGGAACAGGACGUCGCAGAGGGUGAGAACCCCGUACGUGGCCGGUGGUCUUCGCCGUGUAAAGCCCCUUCGACGAGUCGAGUUGUUUGGGAAUGCAGCUCUAAAUGGGAGGUAAAUUUCUUCUAAAGCUAAAUAUUGGCCAGAGACCGAUAGCGCACAAGUAGAGUGAUCGAAAGAUGAAAAGCACUUUGGAAAGAGAGUCAAAAAGCACGUGAAAUUGUUGAAAGGGAAGCGCUUGCAGCCAGACUUGCCUGUAGUUGCUCAUCCGGGCUUCCGCCCGGUGCACUCUUCUGCGGGCAGGCCAGCAUCAGUCCAGGCGGCCGGAUAAAGGCCUUGGGAAUGUGGCUCCCUUCGGGGAGUGUUAUAGCCCAGGGCGCAAUGCGGCCAGCUUGGACUGAGGUCCGCGCAUCUGCUAGGAUGCUGGCGUAAUGGCUGUAAGCGGCCCGUCUUGAAACACGGACCAAGGAGUCUAACAUCUAUGCGAGUGUUUGGGUGUCAAGCCCGGGCGCGUAAUGAAAGUGAACGGAGGUGGGAACCCCUCGGGGCGCACCAUCGACCGAUCCUGAUGUCUUCGGAUGGAUUUGAGUAAGAGCAUAGCUGUUGGGACCCGAAAGAUGGUGAACUAUGCCUGAAUAGGGUGAAGCCAGAGGAAACUCUGGUGGAGGCUCGCAGCGGUUCUGACGUGCAAAUCGAUCGUCAAAUUUGGGCAUAGGGGCGAAAGACUAAUCGAACUAUCUAGUAGCUGGUUCUGC